CGUUUUUCGUCUGUAUAUGAAAAAUAUAGCCUGCCCUAUGACAAAAUAAUAAGUUAAAUGGCCGCGGUAUUUUGACCGUGCGAAGGUAGCAUAAUCAUUAGUCUACUAAUUGUGGACUGGUAUGAAUGGCUGGAUGAAUAAAAACUGUUUCUAAUUUAAAAAAUUGAAUUUUAGGUUUUUGUGAAGACGCUAAAAUAAAGCUAAAAGACGAGAAGACCCUAUUAAGCUUAACAUAAGAAUUCGGGUUUAUAGGUAAAUAGUCGGUUAAUGUUGUGUUGGGGCGACAGUAAGAUAAAAAAACUCUUACUAUAAGUGAUAUUUGUAGAUAUAGCAUAAUUAAUGAUCCGUAAGAUGCGAUUGUGAGAACAAGUUACUUUAGGGAUAACAGCGUAAUUUUACUGGAGAGCUCAUAUUGAUAGUAAAGAUUGCGACCUCGAUGUUGAAUUAGGAUACCUUUAGGGUGCAGCUGUUUUAGAAGGUAGUCUGUUCGACUAUUAAAAUCCUACA
Molecule: ribosomal RNA, 507 nt
Filed under: Paralamyctes grayi
Lineage: Eukaryota; Metazoa; Arthropoda; Chilopoda; Lithobiomorpha; Henicopidae
Description: partial 16S ribosomal RNA
Rfam family: Bacterial large subunit ribosomal RNA
Source: RNAcentral